This 253-nucleotide ribosomal RNA is filed under the name uncultured bacterium. Its description in RNAcentral is "partial 16S ribosomal RNA". It matches the Rfam family "Bacterial small subunit ribosomal RNA", at positions 524 to 776 of the family's 1533-position model. The record is from RNAcentral.
UACAUGUGGGGCAAGCGUUGUUCGGAAUUACUGGGCGUAAAGGGCUCGUAGGCGGCCAACUAAGUCAGACGUGAAAUCCCUCGGCUUAACCGGGGAACUGCGUCUGAUACUGGAUGGCUUGAGGUUGGGAGAGGGAUGCGGAAUUCCAGGUGUAGCGGUGAAAUGCGUAGAUAUCUGGAGGAACACCGGUGGCGAAGGCGGCAUCCUGGACCAAUACUGACACUGAGGAGCGAAAGCCAGGGGAGCAAACGGG